This 376-nucleotide unclassified non-coding RNA is filed under the name soil metagenome. Its description in RNAcentral is "partial contains 5.8S ribosomal RNA, internal transcribed spacer 2, and large subunit ribosomal RNA". The stretch from base 1 to 120 matches the Rfam family "5.8S ribosomal RNA", at positions 35 to 154 of the family's 154-position model. The record is from RNAcentral.
GAUGAAGAACGUAGCGAAAUGCGAUAAGUAAUGUGAAUUGCAGAAUUCAGUGAAUCAUCGAAUCUUUGAACGCAUCUUGCGCUCCUUGGUAUUCUGAGGAGCAUGCCUGUUUGAGUGUCAUUAAAUUCUCAACUACACUGACUUUGAAUUGGUGUGGCUUGGAUUUGGGGGGAAAAUUGUUGUGGGCUUUUUGUAUAGUCUGCUCCCCUGAAAUUGAUUAGCGGUACCUUUGUGGAACUGUCUACAGGUGUGAUAAUUAUCUACAUCUUAGACAUCUGCUGGAAUGCUGCUCUCUAAACCUUACUUGUAUUGACAAUCUUGACCUCAAAUCAGGUAGGACUACCCGCUGAACUUAAGCAUAUCAAUAAGCGGAGGA